GACGWACGCUGSCGGCGUGCCUAAUACAUGCAAGUCGAGCGGAGUUAUUUUGAAAGCUUGCUUCCAAAAUAACUUAGCGGCGGACGGGUGAGUAWCACGUAGGCAACCUGCCCCUUAGACUGGGAUAACUACCGGAAACGGUAGCUAAUACCGGAUAAUUUCUUUUUUCUCCUGAAGAAAGAAUGAAAGACGGAGCAAUCUGUCACUGAGGGAUGGGCCUGCGGCGCAUUAGCUAGUUGGUGGGGUAACGGCCCACCAAGGCGACGAUGCGUAGCCGACCUGAGAGGGUGAACGGCCACACUGGGAGUGAGACACGGCCCAGACUCCUACGGGAGGCAGCAGUAGGGAAUCUUCCGCAAUGGACSMMMGUCUGACGGARCAACGCCGCGUGAGUGAUGAAGGUUUUCGGAUCGUAAAGCUCUGUUGCCAGGGAAGAAUGUCCGAUAGAGUAACUGCUAUCGGAGUGACGGUACCUGAGAAGAAAGCCCCGGCUAACUACGUGCCAGCCGCCGCGG
RNAcentral lists this ribosomal RNA (515 nucleotides) under uncultured bacterium IAFBG8. Its description in RNAcentral is "bacterial SSU rRNA". It matches the Rfam family "Bacterial small subunit ribosomal RNA", at positions 28 to 520 of the family's 1533-position model. The record is from RNAcentral. Lineage: Bacteria; Bacillati; Bacillota; Bacilli; Caryophanales; Paenibacillaceae.